UGCAAGUCGAGCGGGGAAAGGUAGCUUGCUACCUGACCUAGCGGCGGACGGGUGAGUAAUGCUUAGGAAUCUGCCUAUUAGUGGGGGACAACAUCUCGAAAGGGAUGCUAAUACCGCAUACGUCCUACGGGAGAAAGCAGGGGACCUUCGGGCCUUGCGCUAAUAGAUGAGCCUAAGUCGGAUUAGCUAGUUGGUGGGGUAAAGGCCUACCAAGGCGACGAUCUGUAGCGGGUCUGAGAGGAUGAUCCGCCACACUGGGACUGAGACACGGCCCAGACUCCUACGGGAGGCAGCAGUGGGGAAUAUUGGACAAUGGGGGGAACCCUGAUCCAGCCAUGCCGCGUGUGUGAAGAAGGCCUUUUGGUUGUAAAGCACUUUAAGCGAGGAGGAGGCUACCGAGAUUAAUACUCUUGGAUAGUGGACGUUACUCGCAGAAUAAGCACCGGCUAACUCUGUGCCAGCAGCCGCGGUAAUACAGAGGGUGCAAGCGUUAAUCGGAUUUACUGGGCGUAAAGCGCGCGUAGGUGGCCAAUUAAGUCAAAUGUGAAAUCCCCGAGCUUAACUUGGGAAUUGCAUUCGAUACUGGUUGGCUAGAGUAUGGGAGAGGAUGGUAGAAUUCCAGGUGUAGCGGUGAAAUGCGUAGAGAUCUGGAGGAAUACCGAUGGCGAAGGCAGCCAUCUGGCCUAAUACUGACACUGAGGUGCGAAAGCAUGGGGAGCAAACAGGAUUAGAUACCCUGGUAGUCCAUGCCGUAAACGAUGUCUACUAGCCGUUGGGGCCUUUGAGGCUUUAGUGGCGCAGCUAACGCGAUAAGUAGACCGCCUGGGGAGUACGGUCGCAAGACUAAAACUCAAAUGAAUUGACGGGGGCCCGCACAAGCGGUGGAGCAUGUGGUUUAAUUCGAUGCAACGC
Molecule: ribosomal RNA, 912 nt
Filed under: uncultured bacterium
Lineage: Bacteria
Description: bacterial SSU rRNA
Rfam family: Bacterial small subunit ribosomal RNA
Source: RNAcentral